CCCAGACAACUAGGAUGUUGGCUUAGAAGCAGCCAUCAUUUAAAGAGUGCGUAAUAGCUCACUAGUCGAGUGACACUGCGCCGAAAAUGUACCGGGGCUAAACAUAUUACCGAAGCUGUGGAUUGUCCUUCGGACAAUGGUAGGAGAGCGUUCUAAGGGCGUUGAAGCAUGAUCGCAAGGACAUGUGGAGCGCUUAGAAGUGAGAAUGCCGGUGUGAGUAGCGAAAGACGGGUGAGAAUCCCGUCCACCGAUUGACUAAGGUUUCCAGAGGAAGGCUCGUCCGCUCUGGGUUAGUCGGGUCCUAAGCUGAGGCCGACAGGCGUAGGCGAUGGAUAACAGGUUGAUAUUCCUGUACCACCUAGUAUCGUUUUAAUCGAUGGGGGGACGCAGUAGGAUAGGCGAAGCGUGCUGUUGGAGUGCACGUCCAAGCAGUAAGGCUGAGUGUUAGGCAAAUCCGGCACUCGU
RNAcentral lists this ribosomal RNA (465 nucleotides) under Staphylococcus capitis. RNAcentral describes it as "bacterial LSU rRNA". It matches the Rfam family "Bacterial large subunit ribosomal RNA", at positions 1084 to 1552 of the family's 2925-position model. The record is from RNAcentral. Lineage: Bacteria; Bacillati; Bacillota; Bacilli; Caryophanales; Staphylococcaceae.